GCAAAGACCAUGUCAGCUCCUUUCAAAUAUAUGAGCAGGACAGCAUGUAACCAGCUCCAAUUUGAUAAGUAGUUAUCUGUGUUGUUGCUGAGUACAGUUAAAUGUCUGCUACCAAUUGUCCUACCAUUGGGACUUGCCCUCUUGGGCAAAAUCUAUUGAAAUUUGACCUCAAAUCAGGUAGGACUACCCGCUGAACUUAA
RNAcentral lists this unclassified non-coding RNA (200 nucleotides) under soil metagenome. Its description in RNAcentral is "partial contains internal transcribed spacer 2 and large subunit ribosomal RNA". The record is from RNAcentral.